This is a long non-coding RNA of Oreochromis aureus, 705 nucleotides long. RefSeq lists it as uncharacterized. The transcript is spliced from 3 exons. Lineage: Eukaryota; Metazoa; Chordata; Actinopteri; Cichliformes; Cichlidae. The record is from RefSeq and is a predicted model, not a curated record.
AUUUUUCGUGAUUUGUUGGAUUAACCCUCUGAGGUCUGAAUCCCAGGCUGUGCACAUCAACAUCACAGAUUUGUACAAAUAAAGUUUAUAACAAAGACAUGUUAAAUAUUAAGCACUGAAAACAGCUUGGUUGUUGUUGUUUGGAACGUCAUUUAAUGCAUGUUGUUUGGUUGCCAUAGUGAUGCCUUGAUGCUAAAAUGACAUCACAGCAUUUAAACAUGUUUUGGUUGAAAACAUCAGCAUAUGAAAACAGAACUGAAGAGACACUGCAACCAAAGCAGACGACUAGUGAAAUUUCUACGUUUCCCUGAGGAUUAACUGCUCUGCAAUUUACCAAGAACUAAAUCAAAAUGAAUGGAAGAGGAGAUGAAUCACAAAAUAACCGUAAUGGCCGACAGGUUAACCCAGAAAAUCUUCCAAGUGGAGAUCAGGAACCGGCUUAUGAAGCAGCUUAUGAACCUGUUGGUGGAUUCUGGGGUUUACUGAACAGUCUUUAUCGUGCUCUCUAUAAUAUCUAUUUUUCGAGGCUGAAUGAGCUGUUAGAUGAAUUAGAGGAACAAUAUGAUGUCUUUGACAUUGACAAUCUCAAUGACGGCAAUGUUAACAAUGUAAACAUUAACAAUAUUAAUGUGAGAGACAAUAAUGCCAAUGUUGACAACAAUGAACUGCAUGAUGAUCAUAAUGCUGUUGUUGUCGACAUUGAAA